Molecule: ribosomal RNA, 293 nt
Filed under: uncultured bacterium
Lineage: Bacteria
Description: partial 16S ribosomal RNA
Rfam family: Bacterial small subunit ribosomal RNA
Source: RNAcentral
GUGCCAGCAGCCGCGGUAAUACAGAGGUGGCAAGCGUUGUUCGGAAUUACUGGGCGUAAAGGGCGCGUAGGCGGCCUUCUAAGUCUUGUGUGAAAUCCCUCGGCUCAACUGAGGAACUGCACGGGAUACUGGAUGGCUUGAGUUCGGGAGAGGGAAGCGGAAUUCCGGGUGUAGCGGUGAAAUGCGUAGAUAUCCGGAGGAACACCGGUGGCGAAGGCGGCUUCCUGGACCGAUUACUGACGCUGAGGCGCGAAAGCUAGGGGAGCAAACGGGAUUAGAUACCCCUGUAGUCC